UGGGGAAUAUUGCACAAUGGAGGGAACUCUGAUGCAGCGACGCCGCGUGAACGAAGAAGGCUUUCGAGUCGUAAAGUUCUUUUAUAUGGGAAGAUAAUGACGGUACCAUAAGAAAAAGCCCCGGCUAACUACGUGCCAGCACCCGCGGUAAUACGUAGGGGGCUAGCGUUGUCCGGAAUCACUGGGCGUAAAGGGUUCGCAGGCGGAAAUGCAAGUCAGGUGUAAAAGGCAGUAGCUUAACUACUGUAAGCAUUUGAAACUGCAUAUCUUGAGAAGAGUAGAGGUAAGUGGAAUUUUUAGUGUAGCGGUGAAAUGCGUAGAUAUUAAAAAGAAUACCGGUGGCGAAGGCGACUUACUGGGCUCAUUCUGACGCUGAGGAACGAAAGCGUGGGUAGCAAACAGG
This 403-nucleotide ribosomal RNA is filed under the name Fusobacteriota bacterium. Its description in RNAcentral is "Fusobacteria bacterium partial 16S ribosomal RNA". It matches the Rfam family "Bacterial small subunit ribosomal RNA", at positions 355 to 776 of the family's 1533-position model. Lineage: Bacteria; Fusobacteriati; Fusobacteriota. The record is from RNAcentral.